GAUUCUGGCUCAGAACGAACGCUGGCGGCAUGCCUAACACAUGCAAGUCGAACGAGACCUUCGGGUCUAGUGGCGCACGGGUGCGUAACGCGUGGGAAUCUGCCCCUCGGUUGGGAAUAACACAGAGAAAUUUGUGCUAAUACCUUAUAAUGUCUUCGGACCAAAGAUUUAUCGCCGAGGGAUGAGCCCGCGUAGGAUUAGGUAGUUGGUGGGGUAAUGGCCUACCAAGCCGACGAUCCUUAGCUGGUCUGAGAGGAUGAUCAGCCACACUGGGACUGAGACACGGCCCAGACUCCUACGGGAGGCAGCAGUGGGGAAUAUUGGACAAUGGGCGAAAGCCUGAUCCAGCAAUGCCGCGUGAGUGAUGAAGGCCUUAGGGUUGUAAAGCUCUUUUACCCGGGAUGAUAAUGACAGUACCGGGAGAAUAAGCUCCGGCUAACUCCGUGCCAGCAGCAGC
Molecule: ribosomal RNA, 457 nt
Filed under: uncultured bacterium
Lineage: Bacteria
Description: bacterial SSU rRNA
Rfam family: Bacterial small subunit ribosomal RNA
Source: RNAcentral